UUUCUUCGGAAAUGAGAGAGCGGCGUACGGGUGCGGAACACGUGUGCAACCUGCCUUUAUCUGGGGGAUAGCCUUUCGAAAGGAAGAUUAAUACUCCAUAAUAUAUUGAACGGCAUCGUUUAAUAUUGAAAGCUCCGGCGGAUAGAGAUGGGCACGCGCAAGAUUAGCUAGUUGGUGAGGUAACGGCUCACCAAGGCGAUGAUCUUUAGGGGGCCUGAGAGGGUGAUCCCCCACACUGGUACUGAGACACGGACCAGACUCCUACGGGAGGCAGCAGUGAGGAAUAUUGGUCAAUGGGUGCAAGCCUGAACCAGCCAUCCCGCGUGAAGGACGACUGCCCUAUGGGUUGUAAACUUCUUUUGUAUAGGGAUAAACCUACCCUCGUGAGGGUAGCUGAAGGUACUAUACGAAUAAGCACCGGCUAACUCCGUGCCAGCAGCCGCGGUAAUACGGAGGGUGCAAGCGUUAUCCGGAUUUAUUGGGUUUAAAGGGUCCGUGGGCGGACUUAUAAGUCAGUGGUGAAAGCCUGUCGCUUAACGAUAGAACUGCCAUUGAUACUGUAAGUCUUGAGUAUAUUUGAGGUAGCUGGAAUAAGUAGUGUAGCGGUGAAAUGCAUAGAUAUUACUUAGAACACCAAUUGCGAAGGCAGGUUACCAAGAUAUAACUGACGCUGAGGGACGAAA
This 683-nucleotide ribosomal RNA is filed under the name uncultured bacterium. RNAcentral describes it as "bacterial SSU rRNA". It matches the Rfam family "Bacterial small subunit ribosomal RNA", at positions 75 to 758 of the family's 1533-position model. The record is from RNAcentral.